ACGCAGCCUAUCCCGGAAGAAAAUUUGUUCUCCAUCCCAAUGGGGGAGAGACGGAUUCGAGUUGAACGUGGGUAGAAAUAGAAAAUCAAAAUUUCUAACCAUGCCAUAGAGUUUAGCUCCUUUUUUAUCCUCUUCGAGAUCCUGCAAUCCUAUAACAUUGGGAUUCUAUUUUUCUUCUAGAGAUGGAAACAUAUACGAAUCAUUGUCAGUUAAUUAGAGGAAUGGUUGGUGGACCCUGCUGACGGGUCCUCCUGAGUGGAGAUACUGAUUUAGCUGACGGGCACUGUUGCUUGAACAUGGGUGAUUCGAGCUACGAUGAGAGCUAUUUUCCUCGCCACGUCAACGGGGUACCUGAUCCUGUUGCCCUUCCAAAAUUUUCGGGAUGUGCUGUAUGACGACAACAGAAUUUGAAAUUAGAAAUCGGAAAUAACAAAGAGCGGAAGACGGAAUCAACCUACAAUGAGUAAGAACGGGUUCAGAGCCGAGCUUCCUCAUUUGGGCUUAUGAAUGCGGGAUGUAUUGGUUGCAGCGCUAAGGACGGCGGUGUUCGGACCCAGGAAAAAUACCCACAAGCACGACACAAGCACGACACAAGCACGACACAAGCAUAAGCCAAGCAUCCCGCUACUGGAGGUGGAUUCUCCACGGCAACGUAACUGAACGCGGAGACGUCGGCGGGAUGUCGCAACAGAGC
Molecule: small RNA, 694 nt
Filed under: Histoplasma capsulatum
Lineage: Eukaryota; Fungi; Ascomycota; Eurotiomycetes; Onygenales; Ajellomycetaceae
Also listed under: 1 other name
Description: hypothetical RNA
Source: RNAcentral